Molecule: ribosomal RNA, 472 nt
Filed under: uncultured organism
Description: partial 16S ribosomal RNA
Rfam family: Bacterial small subunit ribosomal RNA
Source: RNAcentral
CACUCCUACGGGAGGCAGCAGUGGGGAAUUUUGGACAAUGGGCGAAAGCCUGAUCCAGCAAUGCCGCGUGAGUGAAGAAGGCCUUCGGGUUGUAAAGCUCUUUUGUCAGGGAAGAAACGGUGAAAGCUAAUAUCUUUUGCUAAUGACGGUACCUGAAGAAUAAGCACCGGCUAACUACGUGCCAGCAGCCGCGGUAAUACGUAGGGUGCAAGCGUUAAUCGGAAUUACUGGGCGUAAAGCGUGCGCAGGCGGUUUUGUAAGUCUGAUGUGAAAUCCCCGGGCUCAACCUGGGAAUUGCAUUGGAGACUGCAAGGCUAGAAUCUGGCAGAGGGGGGUAGAAUUCCACGUGUAGCAGUGAAAUGCGUAGAUAUGUGGAGGAACACCGAUGGCGAAGGCAGCCCCCUGGGUCAAGAUUGACGCUCAUGCACGAAAGCGUGGGGAGCAAACAGGAUUAGAUACCCCUGUAGUCCCA